GAGGAAUGUAUAGCAAUAGCUAACUGCACUAAAAAUUUUAGUGUAAAAUCGACUAUGUUGAAUAAAAUUCUGGGUAGUACUAUGAUAAUGACAUUACAUAUUCAUAAGUCUUGACCAAAUUACGUGCCAGCAGUCGCGGUAAUACGUAGAAGACAAGUGUUAUUCAUCUUUAAUAGGUUUAAAGCGUACUUAGACGGUAAAUCAAGCCUCAAAAGGGACUAAUUUGCUAGAGUUUUAUGUGAGAAAGUAUUAAAGUACUGUUGGUGUAGAGAUGAAAUUCUGUCAUACCUUAGAUGGCACAGGUUAUGGCGAAAGCAUCUUUUUAUGUAAAAACUGACGUUGAAGGACGAAGGCUUUGUGUCUCGAACAGGAUUAGAUACCCUAGUAGUCUAAGCAGACAAUGAUGAAUGUCAUAGAUUAGAUGUAAUUUGAUCUAUAAAUGAAAGUGUAAGCAUUCCACCUCAAGAGUAAUUUGGCAACAUUGGAACUGAAAUCAUUAGACCGUUUCUGAAACCAGUAGUGAUGUAUGUUGUUUAAUUUGAUAAUCCGCAAAAAACCUUACCACCAUGUGAAUAGAUAUAUUUUAUCAUACAAGCGUUGCACGGCUGUCUUUAGUUAAUGUCGUGAGACUUUGGUUAGUUCCAUAAAAUUAACGUAAACCCUUACUUUAUUUUAAAAUAAAGUAGCUCACCGCUAUA
This 698-nucleotide ribosomal RNA is filed under the name Gyalolechia cranfieldii. RNAcentral describes it as "mitochondrial SSU rRNA". It matches the Rfam family "Bacterial small subunit ribosomal RNA", at positions 356 to 1160 of the family's 1533-position model. The record is from RNAcentral. Lineage: Eukaryota; Fungi; Ascomycota; Lecanoromycetes; Teloschistales; Teloschistaceae.